GAACGAGAAAGGGGCUUCGGCCCUGAGUAAAGUGGCGCACGGGUGAGUAACACGUGACUAACCUACCCUGGAGUGGGGAAUAACUUCGAGAAAUCGAGGCUAAUUCCGCAUAAUACCUACGGGUCAAAGGAGCAAUUCGCUUUGGGAGGGGGUCGCGGCAGAUUAGCUAGUUGGCGGGGUAAUGGCCCACCAAGGCAGUGAUCUGUAUCCGGCCUGAGAGGGCGCACGGACACACUGGAACUGAAACACGGUCCAGACUCCUACGGGAGGCAGCAGUGGGGAAUUUUGCGCAAUGGGGGAAACCCUGACGCAGCAACGCCGCGUGGAGGAUGAAGUCUCUUGGGACGUAAACUCCUUUCGAUCGGGACGAUAAUGACGGUACCGAUAGAAGAAGCCCCGGCUAACUUCGUGC
This 412-nucleotide ribosomal RNA is filed under the name uncultured bacterium. RNAcentral's name for it is "bacterial SSU rRNA". It matches the Rfam family "Bacterial small subunit ribosomal RNA", at positions 64 to 508 of the family's 1533-position model. The record is from RNAcentral.